This is a small nuclear RNA of Fukomys damarensis (Damara mole-rat), 107 nucleotides long. The record is from Ensembl. NCBI's taxonomy places the organism in Eukaryota, Metazoa, Chordata, Mammalia, Rodentia, Bathyergidae.
GUUCUCACGUUAGCAGCACAUAUACUAAAAUUGGAACCAUACAGAAAACAUUAGCAUGGUCCCUGCUCAACGAUGACACACAAAUUUUUGAAGCAUUCCAUAUUUUU